GUUGUAUGGUUAAGUGACUAAGCGUACACGGUGGAUGCCUUGGCAGUCAGAGGCGAUGAAGGACGUAUUAACUUGCGAUAAGCCCAGAUUAGGUAGUAAAAACCAUUUGAGUCUGGGAUUUCCGAAUGGGGAAACCCACUAGCAUAAGCUAGUAUCGCUGCGUGAAUACAUAGCGCAGCGAGGCGAACCGGGGGAACUGAAACAUCUAAGUACCCCGAGGAAAAGAAAUCAACCGAGAUUCCGAAAGUAGCGGCGAGCGAAAUUGGACUAGCCCUUAAGCUUUUUAUGCGUCAGGUGAAACUUCUGGAAAGUUGUGCGAUACAGGGUGAUAGCCCCGUAACCGGCAACGCAUAUAAAGUGAAAUCGAGUAGGGCGGGACACGUGAUAUCCUGUCUGAAUAUGGGGGGACCAUCCUCCAAGGCUAAAUACUACUGACUGACCGAUAGUGAACCAGUACCGUGAGGGAAAGGCGAAAAGAACCCCUGUGAGGGGAGUGAAAUAGAACCUGAAACCGUGUACGUACAAGCAGUAGGAGCACCUUCGUGGUGUGACUGCGUACCUUUUGUAUAAUGGGUCAGCGACUUAUAUUCAGUGGCAAGGUUAACCAUCUAGGGGAGCCGUAGGGAAACCGAGUCUUAACUGGGCGUUCAGUCUCUGGAUAUAGACCCGAAACCAGGUGAUCUAGCCAUGGGCAGGUUGAAGGUUGAGUAACAUCAACUGGAGGACCGAACCGACUAAUGUUGAAAAAUUAGCGGAUGACUUGUGGCUAGGGGUGAAAGGCCAAUCAAACCUGGAGAUAGCUGGUUCUCCCCGAAAGCUAUUUAGGUAGCGCCUCGGACGAAUACUACUGGGGGUAGAGCACUGUUAAGGCUAGGGGGUCAUCCCGACUUACCAACCCUUUGCAAACUCCGAAUACCAGUAAGUACUAUCCGGGAGACACACGGCGGGUGCUAACGUCCGUCGUGGAGAGGGAAACAACCCAGACCGCCAGCUAAGGUCCCAAAUUACUACUAAGUGGGAAACGAUGUGGGAAGGCUCAGACAGCCAGGAUGUUGGCUUAGAAGCAGCCAUCAUUUAAAGAAAGCGUAAUAGCUCACUGGUCGAGUCGGCCUGCGCGGAAGAUGUAACGGGGCUAAGUAGUAAACCGAAGCUGCGGCAAUGCACUUUAGUGCAUUGGGUAGGGGAGCGUUCUGUAAGCGGUUGAAGGUGUGUGGUAACGCAUGCUGGACGUAUCAGAAGUGCGAAUGCUGACAUGAGUAACGAUAAAGGGGGUGAAAAACCUCCUCGCCGGAAGACCAAGGGUUCCUGUCCAACGUUAAUCGGGGCAGGGUAAGUCGACCCCUAAGGCGAGGCCGAAAGGCGUAGUCGAUGGGAAACGGGUUAAUAUUCCCGUACUUCUUACAAUUGCGAUGGGGGGACGGAGAAGGCUAGGUGGGCCUGGCGACGGUUGUCCAGGUUCAAGUGCGUAGGCUUAAGAGUUAGGUAAAUCCGGCUCUUUUUAAGGCUGAGACACGACGUCGAGCUACUACGGUAGUGAAGUCAUUGAUGCCAUGCUUCCAGGAAAAGCCUCUAAGCUUCAGAUUGUAAGGAAUCGUACCCCAAACCGACACAGGUGGUCGGGUAGAGAAUACCAAGGCGCUUGAGAGAACUCGGGUGAAGGAACUAGGCAAAAUGGUACCGUAACUUCGGGAGAAGGUACGCUCUCGACGGUGAAGUCCCUUGCGGAUGGAGCUAUUGAGAGUCGCAGAUACCAGGUGGCUGCAACUGUUUAUUAAAAACACAGCACUGUGCAAAAUCGUAAGAUGACGUAUACGGUGUGACGCCUGCCCGGUGCCGGAAGGUUAAUUGAUGGGGUUAGACUUCGGUCGAAGCUCUUGAUCGAAGCCCCGGUAAACGGCGGCCGUAACUAUAACGGUCCUAAGGUAGCGAAAUUCCUUGUCGGGUAAGUUCCGACCUGCACGAAUGGCGUAAUGAUGGCCACGCUGUCUCCACCCGAGACUCAGUGAAAUUGAAAUCGCUGUGAAGAUGCAGUGUACCCGCGGCUAGACGGAAAGACCCCGUGAACCUUUACUACAGCUUGGCACUGAACAUUGACCCUACAUGUGUAGGAUAGGUGGGAGGCUUUGAAGCACAGUCGCUAGAUUGUGUGGAGCCGUCCUUGAAAUACCACCCUUGUAGUGUUGAUGUUCUAACGUUGACCCCUAAUCGGGGUUGCGGACAGUGCCUGGUGGGUAGUUUGACUGGGGCGGUCUCCUCCCAAAGCGUAACGGAGGAGCACGAAGGUGGGCUAAUCACGGUUGGACAUCGUGAGGUUAGUGCAAUGGCAUAAGCCCGCUUGACUGCGAGAAUGACGGUUCGAGCAGGUGCGAAAGCAGGUCAUAGUGAUCCGGUGGUUCUGAAUGGAAGGGCCAUCGCUCAACGGAUAAAAGGUACUCCGGGGAUAACAGGCUGAUACCGCCCAAGAGUUCAUAUCGACGGCGGUGUUUGGCACCUCGAUGUCGGCUCAUCACAUCCUGGGGCUGAAGUCGGUCCCAAGGGUAUGGCUGUUCGCCAUUUAAAGUGGUACGCGAGCUGGGUUUAGAACGUCGUGAGACAGUUCGGUCCCUAUCUGCCGUGGGCGUUGGAAGAUUGAAGGGGGCUGCUCCUAGUACGAGAGGACCGGAGUGGACGAACCUCUGGUGUUCGGGUUGUGUCGCCAGACGCAUUGCCCGGUAGCUAAGUUCGGAAUCGAUAACCGCUGAAAGCAUCUAAGCGGGAAGCGAGCCCUGAGAUGAGUCUUCCCUGAUACUUUAAGUAUCCUAAAGGGUUGUUCGAGACUAGAACGUUGAUAGGCAGGGUGUGUAAGCGUUGUGAGGCGUUGAGCUAACCUGUACUAAUUGCCCGUGAGGCUUAACCAUACAACACCCAAGGGGUUU
Molecule: ribosomal RNA, 2915 nt
Filed under: Vibrio harveyi
Lineage: Bacteria; Pseudomonadati; Pseudomonadota; Gammaproteobacteria; Vibrionales; Vibrionaceae
Description: 23S ribosomal RNA
Rfam family: Bacterial large subunit ribosomal RNA
Source: RNAcentral